Pezoporus occidentalis (night parrot) is the source of this 416-nucleotide long non-coding RNA. RefSeq lists it as uncharacterized. The record is from RefSeq and is a predicted model, not a curated record. Lineage: Eukaryota; Metazoa; Chordata; Aves; Psittaciformes; Psittacidae. The transcript has 3 exons.
CCUCACGGAAAAGGUGCACAUUGAUCCGUCCUGCGGCCGUACGGGCGGGCUGCGGCUCUCCGACCUUCCCCCUGGAGGCGUCCUCGGCCGAGGGGCCGGGUGUGGGCUGAGGGGGCGGUGACGCGGUGCCGCCUCAGGGGGGCAGAGAGCGGGGCGGCAGCCUGCCCCUCAAACCAGCAGUGCGGUGGCCAGUGCUGUGAGAGAUGUGUGGUUGGAAGAACUAGCUGUCAUUUGGCCAAAGUCUAAACUUCUAAAAGCUACCUAAAGAUACAUCCUCAGCUGCAACUCCAAAACACCUGGGCCAAGGUAUGAAGCAACAGAGAUUGGAAUCCACAUACUUCAUGAAAGUCAUAUUUAACAGAGAGAGCCUUGUUUCUACAGCAGCAAGGAUGUCUGCAUGACGUGCUAAUGAAUGG